CAAGAAGUAACCUCUUCUUCUCCAUUGAAGGGAUUACACAGCUUUAGUUCAUUCCGGUCCGUGCGUUUGUUUCUGUGGCAAGGGCGGAUAGUGAACAAAUUGUGACAUAUGGGAUCCCAAUAGUGACUUCGUGUUCGUCGGAAUAGACAAAAACUACCAACACAAGAUGGCUAUGGAAUUUGUUACGGCUUCUGUUGCAACUAUUCUGUCCUUAUUUUUAACUGCUCUGUUUUUGCAGUUACUUUAUAAGGCACUUCGUGUGACAUUGAGGGAUCCAAGAACACACACGAUGGAAUUUGCGGAAAACAGGGGUGGCCUUCUGAGGUGGUAUUUUACUGCUGUUAUGCAGGCCUUCCAUAAAUCCCAGGGAGUGUUUCAUCCUGUUUUUGAAACCGAUCGCUUGGAGAAACCGGAUCCCAUCACUGAAAAGAAUCACCCAGGCACCAUUGGUAUAUUUGUCCCUCCUCCAGACGAAAUCGCCACAUUAACAGACUGCUGG
Molecule: long non-coding RNA, 499 nt
Organism: Aplysia californica (California sea hare)
Lineage: Eukaryota; Metazoa; Mollusca; Gastropoda; Aplysiida; Aplysiidae
Exons: 3
Source: RefSeq, a predicted model, not a curated record